Molecule: signal recognition particle RNA, 292 nt
Filed under: Vombatus ursinus (common wombat)
Lineage: Eukaryota; Metazoa; Chordata; Mammalia; Diprotodontia; Vombatidae
Description: Metazoan signal recognition particle RNA (ENSVURG00010011110.1)
Rfam family: Metazoan signal recognition particle RNA
About the family: The signal recognition particle (SRP) is a universally conserved ribonucleoprotein. It is involved in the co-translational targeting of proteins to membranes. The eukaryotic SRP consists of a 300-nucleotide 7S RNA and six proteins: SRPs 72, 68, 54, 19, 14, and 9.
Source: RNAcentral
GCUAGGCACGGUGGUACCUACCUGUAAUCCCUGCUACGGGGGAAGCUAAGGCAACUGCCAUUGCUUCAGCUCAGGAGUUCUGAGCUUCAGUGGUUAAAGUGAAUUGGUGUCCUCGUCAAGUCUUGCACCCAUAUGGUAAGCCUGUGGACGCAGGAGGCCACCAGGCUGCCUAAGGAGUGACAAACUGGCUCAGGUUGGAAAUGGAAUAGGUCAAAGCUCUGGUGCCAAUCAGUGGUUGGGUCAGGCCCAUGAGUGUCCACUAUAUUUCCAGCCUGGGCAAGAUAGGGAGACC